Molecule: ribosomal RNA, 61 nt
Filed under: Spizellomyces plurigibbosus
Lineage: Eukaryota; Fungi; Chytridiomycota; Chytridiomycetes; Spizellomycetales; Spizellomycetaceae
Description: partial 28S ribosomal RNA
Source: RNAcentral
AACUUGGUCUGAAAUGGGCAAGAAAACCCGCUGAACUUAAGCAUAUCAAUAAGCGGAGGAA